GAUGAACGCUGGCGGCGUGCCUAAUACAUGCAAGUCGAGCGAACAGACGAGGAGCUUGCUCCUUCGACGUUAGCGGCGGACGGGUGAGUAACACGUAGGUAACCUACCUAUAAGACUGGGAUAACUUCGGGAAACCGGAGCUAAGACCGGAUAAUAUUUCGAACCGCAUGGUUCGAUAGUGAAAGAUGGCUUUGCUAUCACUUAUAGAUGGACCUGCGCCGUAUUAGCUAGUUGGUAAGGUAACGGCUUACCAAGGCAACGAUACGUAGCCGACCUGAGAGGGUGAUACGCCACACUGGAACUGAGACACGGUCCAGACUCCUACGGGAGGCAGCAGUAGGGAAUCUUCCGCAAUGGGCGAAAGCCUGACGGAGCAACGCCGCGUGAGUGAUGAAGGUCUUCGGAUCGUAAAACUCUGUUAUUAGGGAAGAACAAACGUGUAAGUAACUGUGCACGUCUUGACGGUACCUAAUCAGAAAGCCACGGCUAACUACGUG
This 497-nucleotide ribosomal RNA is filed under the name uncultured bacterium. RNAcentral's name for it is "partial 16S ribosomal RNA". It matches the Rfam family "Bacterial small subunit ribosomal RNA", at positions 28 to 507 of the family's 1533-position model. The record is from RNAcentral.